UGUCUGAGGAGACACCGGUGCCA
RNAcentral lists this non-coding RNA (23 nucleotides) under Arabidopsis thaliana (thale cress). Lineage: Eukaryota; Viridiplantae; Streptophyta; Magnoliopsida; Brassicales; Brassicaceae. The record is from RNAcentral.